RNAcentral lists this transfer RNA (73 nucleotides) under Danio margaritatus (celestial pearl danio). RNAcentral's name for it is "tRNA-Asn". Lineage: Eukaryota; Metazoa; Chordata; Actinopteri; Cypriniformes; Danionidae. The record is from RNAcentral.
UAGAAGGAUGCUCGCUGGCUUGAGCGCUUAGGUGUUAACUACGAGUUUGUAGGAUGGAGGCCUUCCCAUCUAG